AUUAAAAAGCCUAAAGGCUGAAAAGCCUUAUACGAACAAAACAGAAGGCUUAAACUUCUGUUCAUUCACGCAAGCCUUGCACGAAAAAGAGAAACAGAAUGCUACGAAACAGAGCAGAGGCAGUCUUGCUACUCAAUACUCACGCAGGCAACAGGAAGUUCUAGGUUUUUUUACAAAUCACUAAUUCUUGAACUGAGGUAUAUAGAUUUUCUAUUGUCAAUUAUCCUACAGUAGUAGUAGUAGGUAAGAAUUGAAUAGUUAAUUCUCUUUUUUCUCUGUAUCAACAGUAAAUUCUAUGUUUAGGUGUGAAACUUUAAAAUUGGUUAAAAUGCACUGGUUGUUGUAGAAUCGAUUAUUUGAUGGGUAUAAAUUGCAUUGGGGUCUACGUAUUGGCUCGAGCAAUUUUGAAGUGAGUAGAUAUUACCCUUUACUAAAGUGGUUUAACUCACAAAAGUACGCAUACAAGGUGUUCGAUAAAUUGCUUAAAAGAGUUAAUAUGUACUUAAACGGAGCGAGUGAGUACUUAUUAACUUAGAAUUGUUCUAGCUAAAUUUUAGAUGAUUUAUUAUGAUAUAUGUGCAUAAAUUUUCAGAUUGUUGUGUUAUUCUUAUAUGCCAUUUUCAUGUUGAAAAUUCAUGAAGAAGCAAGAAUCUUUAAAUAUACUUUUGAAUGUAUAUUUUAUUCUUAUUCCAUGCUUUACAUGUAAUGAUACCAGUAUGAGUAUGUAUAGGAUAUUCCAGAAAAGAUUUAGACUUGAAAAGUCACAAGAAGAUUUAGAAAGAAAAGAUUUUUGGAAGUAUCCUCUAUUUUGAGAAGGGGUGAUCGUCUAGGCCGAGGGUCCUGACCAAGGCAUUGACUUUCUGAAACUACUUAUGCCAAAGUAGGGAAUACACGAGCCGAGGGUCUCGUUGCUGAGAAUUUACUUAGCCAAGCUAAGGUAUGAUACAUGAGCGCUGAGAACCAUGAAGCGAGUGACACCUCAUGGAUUGGGCCUAUUCAAUCAGGUUGGGAUCGAACUCGUGCCAAUCACACGGUGACUAAGACAGAAAUAAGUCAGGAUAGUUAGAACUCCCGAAGUAUAAAGUGAAGUAUCUUUUUUUAUAACAAAGGAAUUUCUUUUAGAAUAUUCAUAAAUUACCACUAUGCAAUUAUUUUAGAAUUGUUCUUAGAAGUUUUAUGUUUUUCAUGCAUUCAAAAUCUUUAUUUGUAAUGUAUAUUUUAUUAAAGUUUCGUCCCCUAUCGUCGAGACUCACUGAGUACAAUGGAUAGUACUGACGUUCUCUUUUGGGAACCUACGUUGGUCUGCGGUAUAAUUUAGGAACCGAUUUUGUAGGCGAGUAGGUUACAGGUUAGGACUUCCCUCUCUUCCAGUGUAAUUGGUGAGCUCCCCUUUUGUUCGUGGAACAUUUUUUUGAGUCAUCUUUAUUUAGUUAUUUCUUUAUUUACUUGGAAAACUAGCCAGACAAUCUCAUGUCCCGAGAAGUGCGUCAGUUUAUCAGUAGAGACUUCAUAGACACAGUCGGGGGGAUUAAGAUUCAGAUGUAUUGAUAAUAACUUUGCAAUAUUUCAAUAGUCACUACGAAUAAAGUUUUAGAGUUGGUUUACUUUAGAUAUUUAAAUUAAUUAAAAGUAUUUGGUUAAAGCAUUGCCUUGUUACAUAUAAAGUUUGAAGUUAUAAUAGAUUUGAUAAGCGCAGAUGGUUCGCUCGGUCAAGUUUAGUGAUCGAGUGCCGGUCAUGGCUUGUUCAGAAAAUCGGUUGUAACAGAGAGAGAGCGCAGGAGAGAGAGAACAUGGAUGAGAAAUAAUUGAUUCCUUAUUUAAUUCCUAAUUUAAAGGGAUACUCAUUUAAAACUAAUUUGUAUAUAAUUGGUAAAUUGUGUAUGGCCAUGUAAUUAAGUUCAAACUUGAUUAGGGAGGGUAAUAAAAUUUUAUAUGUAGUAUAUGAAGGUAAAAAUCCCUUCUCUAUUUCUAAAUUAUACAGACAAGGUUUAAGAACUUUAUUCUCUACAAUAAGGUGUUGGGUUUAAUAAGUAUAUUUAAAUGGGUGUUCUUUCAACAAUAUGUAUAAGACAUGAAAGAAGACUAACAAGGAAAGAAAAUAAAUUAUUUCAUAGGAAAAAAGAGAGGAAUUUUUUUUCAGGAAUCUAUAUGGAGAACUUAAGAAAAAAGGUGAACAAAAUAAAGAAAAUUGUGAAAAAAUAAAAAAUAAAAGUGAAAAAAUAAGGAAGAAUAGUGAAAAAAUGAGGAAGAAAGGUGGAUAUAAAGGAAAUAAGGAGAUUAUUUAUAAUUAAAAAAUAGAGUUAAAAGAGGAUUAGGCUACUUAGCCAUUACAUUCUUUAUAAAAAAUAAAAAUAAAAAGCCAUUACAUUAUGUUAGGUGGACCAUUUUGAUGGCUUUUUUCAGUUGUCACGCGCUCCCAAGCGAGUGUGUACAUAUGUUAUGCCAGACAGUGGCGGAGCCACCUUAUAGGAAGGGGUGUCAAAUGAUACCCCUUUGCGAAAAAAAUACAAUGUGCACGUAGGUAAAAAAAUAAAUUUAUAUGUAUGUAUGUUAUAUAUUGACUCCCCUUAAUUUUUUGGUAUAUUUACUUUUAUAUAUUUUGACACCCCUUAAUAAAAUUUCUGGCUCCGCCACUGAUGCCAGGUAAGCAACGAGGGAGUUUAAAUAUGAAGGGCAAUAUAGUUCGGGGGGAUUUUGAAGACACCGAAUAGUUUAAGUAGGAAAUUGACAAAAACAUGACAGUUUAAGGAGGUUUUAGGGUAUUAACUCUUUAUUUAACCCCCUCCCUUCUUUUUCUGCGCAAACCAAAUGAGGGAAAGGAAAAUCUGAAAAUCUGCUACUUUUCUUUUCCUUUCCUCAAUUUCAGAGGGCUGGCGACCAUACACCAGUGCCUUAUGUUUUUUGGCAUUAAUAUAUGUCUUUGUUAGAAGGUAAAGAUCCUAUAUAUUAUAUGAAGCUGAAUUAAUGCAAAUAAUGCAAGUAAUAAGAAGAAAGGUGAAGAGAUAGUAUUCUCUUCCUUAUGGAGUGAGAUAAAACUUCCAAAUUAGCACUAAAAGAAGAACAUAAUUGAGCAAAAUAAACAGUAGUUGUCAACUUAAUAAUAACAAGCGUAAUUCCUCAUAGUACACUGCCAGACAAGGAACAUCAAGUAAAAAAUACAUAUCCACUUAACAUACAACAUUGAAGAGUCUCAGCUCAUUCAGCAAGUAAUAUAAUAUGGUAUACAUAAUUAAGUUGAUCUUCACUUCCAAGAAUCUUCAGGCUUAAUAGUAGUCUUCUCUUGUGGUUAAGAUGUAGAGCACAAAACAUAGAAGACUUUCAACCAUAUUAGCUGCUCAGGAAAAGAAAUACCUUAGUAUCUAUCAUUAGUAAAAUUGAUUUGGUAGGAAGGAAAUUGUUUUUCAUAAAAAAGUCAUUGUAAUUCUGAUAUUUGGUAUGAUCACUUAUGAGGGAAAGUCAUUUUCCUUAUAAUUACCUUAAGCUUCAUAUUAUUUGGUUCAACUAAUACUUGGACAUUAAUAUUAAUCUCUACUCUAGUACAGAUCAAUAGUAGUUUUAUUGGAACACUCUCCGAUUUGCUAAUAUUAUUACUACAUUUUUAUUAUAUAUUUUUACAAAUACUCCAAUAUUUUCUACUGACCAAUCAAAUACCAGAAAAUAUUUUUUAAUAUUUUAUAUUUUCACGACACACCCUCAAAGUCCCAACAUGUACCACCUUUGAAAUUUGCAGUCUAUUUCCUCUUUCAAGAAAGUAUAUUCUUUGUCCUAAAUUUCACCGUUUUUCUUUUUCUUUCUAAAAAAGUUUUUGAUGAAGUGGUUAAUAAGGAAGGAGUGAGUGUACUCACACUAGUUGAAGAGAUGGUUGGUCUUGUCUAGUGUAAUGGUUGUUGGUUUGCAAACCAUUAACUUGUAAAUAGUUUCGAGUAUCAAAUUGAUGAGGUGGAGGCACAAGCUCAUAGCUUGAACUCCCUGGCAUCAAGUUCAUCUGCUGCUGCUGCUGCUGCUGCUGAGCUCUCUCAGUUUCAGCAAUCUGUUCAAUUUAUUUACUUACAAAAUAACUGACUUUCUGCAGAAUAAGUUACCUAAUUAAGGACUAGUAAUUAGUAAGUUAAAGAGAAAGAAACAGACCUUUGCUCUCAGGUACUGAUUGUUGUUGUGUAAAUCAAUUUCCUGCUGUCCAUUAACUUAUGUUACAAUUUUGGCAUGAAAAUAGGAGUACUAUGACCAAAAAGGACUAUCUUGAAAAUGUAACUAGAAGAAAGAUUGUACGACUUACCCUCUUCUGCAUGUACUCAAUUUCAGCAAACAGCAGCUCAUUCUGUAGUUUGAGAAUGGAAGGUUAGAAAUUAGAAAAUAAUGCCAUUACAGGAAAUUGAAAAUAGAACAGUGUUGUGAAAAUCAGAACAAAUUGUCACUAAACAAAAUUGAAAAUUUCAUAAGAAAAUAGUGAAGUUAAGCACCUUUUUGGAUCUGAUUUUGCUAAUGCCUUUUUCAAUUUUUUGUUCCAGAUUCUUCAGAUCUCUGAGGCUCAGUGCAGCCAGUGAUUCACCCAACAUGUUCCUGAAUCAAUGCAAUAAACGUAAGGAGUACUAUUAGCAACAAAGGACACAAUUAGACUAAUAAAACACAUGGGAUUGGAAAAGAAAAGAAACAAAAAACACUAAAAUUUUACCUGUUCUGAUUCUGCAGAUUUCCAAUUUGUGCGCGCAGUUUGGAGGCUUCUUGCUGAUAAUACUGGGAUUGAUUGAGCAACAUUUUUACAGUAAUCACAAAAGCUUAUGAAGCUAUAUAUUAUGAAUCCAUCUAGCUUGCAACUUGUAAUAUAAUGUAUGACGCAUAUUGCUUUGAGAAGUCUUAUGUAUGUGUAAAAGAGGGCAUUUAACUUCUUUUAAAAUGAAUCUGGAGAUUCAAAUGUGCUCCUACAAUGAGUUCUCUUCUUUUAGUAGUGCUUUCUUCAAUUACUAAAGCAAUUUCAGUGUCAUACACUAAAUUGUUUUACCCUGAUCAGUAGCAUUGAGCAAUCAUAAUCUUUUCCUAAAUUCUUAGAAAUCUACUCAAAUCUCGAUUUUAAGCUUUUAACUUACAAUGAUCCAAGUGUUAUAAGUAGUAGCUACACCAAUUCUCUCAAAAUCAAAUAGAUUACAACAGUUGAUUCAGUAAAGUGGACAACAUUAGAGGAGAGGUGCCAUUUUGUUACUAAAUUAAUCACUCCUUAAUAAAAAACAUUUAUAAUUAUACUAAUGUUAUGGUAUGUUCGAGACUAAGCUCCAAAUAUUUUCUUUUGGUAACUAAAACACCUUUUAUUAUCAAAUGAGAAGUUACAGCUCAAAGAAGGAAGAAGGAAAGAUACACAUUGGAAUGCCCAAGCAUGUAGACCUACAACUGCUUAUAAAAUCCAGAACAGCAUUUCUAACUAGGAAAGAAACAUUUUAUAGUCAUACAAAUAUUAUGAGAUAUUUAAAAUCACAAGUUUUAAAAAUCUUUUUUUACUAAAUUUUGUGUCAAGUCAAACUGCGACAAACAAAGUGAAAUGGAGGGAAUAUAUUAAGAACGAGAUUUUAUUAUUCAUUGGAAUAAGUUUCAAUUUGUAAGUAGGAAAAAUAACCAAACAGUAAUCUACUGCUUUUAAAUAUUAUAUACUAUUUAAAAAAAUGAAGAGACAAGUCCUUUUUUUGCAUUAUCUUGUUCUUUUCCAACAUAUGAUAGGAGAAACCACCCCAUUCUCAUAAUUAAAAGGGGUCUUUAUACAAAUAGCCAGACAUAUUCAUUCUUUACUUUUCUUAGUUGGUAUACAAAAAUUAUACAUUAAUUAUACACAAUAAUGCACAUAUUACAUAUGAAUUAUUUAUAUUUUUUUAUAUCUAUCGACAAUUUUAAGUUUAAGUAAUUAGGUGACGGCUAUUUAGGUUAAUAAAAUUUGUCAUAACAGUAUAGGCAUGAAGUUUACCCUAAUUUACUUUGUUGUAAGAGAUGAGAGAGGAAUGGUUGAAAUUAUUUACUCCU
RNAcentral lists this long non-coding RNA (6003 nucleotides) under Nicotiana tabacum (common tobacco). RNAcentral describes it as "long non-coding RNA (NTAB_LNC011467)". The record is from RNAcentral. Lineage: Eukaryota; Viridiplantae; Streptophyta; Magnoliopsida; Solanales; Solanaceae.